CGGGUGGCAGCAGUGGGGAAUUUUGCACAAUGGAGGAAACUCUGAUGCAGCAACGCCGCGUGAGUGAAGAAGGCCUUUGGGUUGUAAAGCUCUUUCGGCUGGGAAAAAGAGGCUUGCGGUUAAUAGCCGUGAGUUUUGAUGGUACCAGAGUAAGAAGCACCUGCUAACUACGUGCCAGCAGCAGCGGUAAUACGUAGGGUGCAAGCGUUGUUCGGAAUAACUGGGCGUAAAGGGUGCGUAGGUGGGUUUGUAAGUUGUCUGUGAAAUUCCUGGGCUUAACCUGGGCGCGGCAGGCAAAACUGCAGAUCUUGAGUGUUUGAGAGGAUGGUGGAAUUCCAGGUGUAGAAGUGAAAUUCGUAGAUAUCUGGAAGAACAUCGGAGGCGAAGGCGGCUAUCUGGCAACACACUGACACUGAGGCACGAAAGCGUGGGGAUCAAACAGGAUUAGAUACCCCAGU
RNAcentral lists this ribosomal RNA (458 nucleotides) under uncultured prokaryote. RNAcentral describes it as "bacterial SSU rRNA". It matches the Rfam family "Bacterial small subunit ribosomal RNA", at positions 342 to 791 of the family's 1533-position model. The record is from RNAcentral.